This 339-nucleotide ribosomal RNA is filed under the name Centruroides thorellii. Its description in RNAcentral is "partial 12S ribosomal RNA". Lineage: Eukaryota; Metazoa; Arthropoda; Arachnida; Scorpiones; Buthidae. The record is from RNAcentral.
AAAAGAGUACAAGGUUUAGGUAGUAUUAGAUGUCUUAAAACUUAAAAAUUUUGGCGGUGUUUUAAUCUUAUCAGAGGAAUCUGUUUUAUAAUCGACAACACACGGCAUAUCUUGCUCAAAAUUGGUGGUUUGUAUAUCGUUGUGGUAAUAAUGUUUUAUAAUUAUUAUUGAGGAUAAUUUUAUUUUUAAUAUCAGAUCAAGGUUCAGCUUAUGUUUGAGAGAAAAAUGGAUUACAAUAUAAAAAUAUAUUUACGGAGUUUAUCUUUUAAAGAUAACCGAAGGUGGAUUUGAAAGUAUUUUUAUAAUAAAAUGUUAAAUUGAAUUAGCUCUAAAAUAUGC